This 467-nucleotide ribosomal RNA is filed under the name uncultured bacterium. Its description in RNAcentral is "partial 16S ribosomal RNA". It matches the Rfam family "Bacterial small subunit ribosomal RNA", at positions 28 to 507 of the family's 1533-position model. The record is from RNAcentral.
GAUGAACGCUGACAGAAUGCUUAACACAUGCAAGUCUACUUGAAUUUGGGUUUUUAACUUAGGUUUGGGUGGCGGACGGGUGAGUAACGCGUAAAGAACUUGCCUCACAGCUAGGGACAACAUUUGGAAACGAAUGCUAAUACCUAAUAUUAUGAUAAUAGGGCAUCAUAUAAUUAUGAAAGCUAUAAGCGCUGUGAGAGAGCUUUGCGUCCCAUUAGCUAGUUGGAGAGGUAACGGCUCACCAAGGCGAUGAUGGGUAGCCGGCCUGAGAGGGUGAUCGGCCACAAGGGGACUGAGACACGGCCCUUACUCCUACGGGAGGCAGCAGUGGGGAAUAUUGGACAAUGGACCAAGAGUCUGAUCCAGCAAUUCUGUGUGCACGAUGAAGUUUUUCGGAAUGUAAAGUGCUUUCAGUUGGGAAGAAAGAAAUGACGGUACCAACAGAAGAAGUGACGGCUAAAUACGUG